Molecule: unclassified non-coding RNA, 220 nt
Filed under: rhizosphere metagenome
Description: partial ribosomal RNA internal transcribed spacer region
Source: RNAcentral
GUAGGUGAACCUGCGGAGGGAUCAUUAACUGUAACUCCCCGCGCACUCCGGUGCGCGGGCCGUCACAAACCCUUUGUCGUCCGACUAUGUUGCCUCGGGGGAGACCCUGCCUUCGGGCUCGUGACCCCCCGGUGGACCAAACCAAACUCUUGCGUACACAUGUCGUCUGAGUGAUUUACAAAAUAAAUCAAAACUUUCAACAACGGAUCUCUUGGUUCUG